RNAcentral lists this ribosomal RNA (259 nucleotides) under uncultured bacterium. Its description in RNAcentral is "partial 16S ribosomal RNA". It matches the Rfam family "Bacterial small subunit ribosomal RNA", at positions 1 to 230 of the family's 1533-position model. The record is from RNAcentral.
CGCGAAUGCUUCUAGAUUAGAGUUUGAUCCAUGGGCUCAGGANUGAACGCUGGCGGCGUGCCUAAUACAUGCNAGUCGAGCGAAUGGAUUAAGAGCUUGCUCUUAUGAAGUUAGCGGCGUGACGGGUGAAGUAACNACAGUGGGUAACCUGCCCAUAAGGACUGGGAUAAACUCCGGGAAACCGGUGGGCUAAUACCCUGGAUAACAUUUNUGCACUGGCAUUGGUGCGAAAUUGACAACGGCGAGGNCUUACAGAGAC